GCCUCUUCGAUGCUUCACUUCAUCCCUCUACUUUUGGCUUUUCGCCAUCUUCGUCUCUGUCUGCAUCAAACAUAAGGAGGCCAAGAGCAUAAAUCAACUACACGCGUAGUUGACCUUACAAGCACAUACUAGUAUAAGCCCCUUUGCCUAGUUCCUCAUUUUUUUAUUCAUUUAUCUGACCACAUUUUCUCUCAAUUUUCUUUCCUUUUCUCUUUCUUUCCUGUUCUUACAAGCUUCAACUGCCUCCAUCCCUUCUUCCUCUUGUCGCUUUCUUAAUUUUAUAGACUUGUUUCUAAAUCUGUAAAAAUAGCGUUUGGGUUCGCGAGAUCUCUGUCUUUCUGCUCGAUCGUUGAAGUUUAAGUUGGAUUUGAGCUCAAUUUCAGGUGCUCGAAGGUCAUCUGAUACAAGGUUUAAACUGUAAACUAAUUUAUAUCUAAACAGCUAGUUUUACUUUUCAAUUUUUGGGCUUUUUCAUCUGAUUUUUGCUACUGAGCGAGGCAUUACUUCUGGGUUCUGAAAAUAUUGGAAAUUUUAAUAUUUUGAUUUUCUUUUUUUGCAUCCCACAAGUUAUUUUUCCUCAAUUUUGUUAAAUUUUGAAAGUUUAUUGAAUCGUAUCGUUUGAUUCAACUUAAUUUCUGGAUUUUUGCUCAAAUUAGAUUUUUCUGCAUUUCGCUCGCAUUUGAAGCGAAAAAAGAUCUCAGCUUUGUCAUUUCAGCUAAAUAUAGACGCUCUCAACAAUCUAAAUUUACUAGUUCUUUCUUAAUAUUAACAAUAUAGCUUCAAAUUUUUUUUUUCAGCCUUUAUGCGAUUCUUUUCGAGUUUGAUUUGGAUAUGAUGGGGGGACAAUCUAGCAAGAAAAAAGGCGUUGAACCUCCACCACCACUCCAAAUGAAUAGCAAUUCUCAGUACACAGCAGACUUGAGAUCAUAUGAGGAUGCUUGUAAGCUUGAUCCAGACCUGCAAUCCUUUGAUGCUACCCUCCAUGAAAGGACUAACCGUAUCAUAAACACCCUUGCCACUGGUGCUGGCUUUAGAUCACUAUCUUUUGACUCUCUCAAAGAGGUCACCAAUAGCCUUCUUGACAUAAAUCAAGAUGUGGUCGAAGUUAUACUGCAAAGCAAGGAAGAUAUAUGGAAAAAUAAAGAUUUGUUUGCUUUGGUUGAGGAGUACUUUAACAAUAGUGCCAGAACUUUGGAUUUUUGUACUGCCCUUGAAAAUUGUCUUAAGCGAGCUCGGAAUAGCCAAUUGAUCAUACAAGUUGCUCUUAGGCAGUUCGAGGAAGAGGUAGCAUUUCAAGAUGGGGUUGCGGACAAGAAGUAUGUGAAGACAUUAGAGGAAUUAGGUAAGUUCAAGGCAGUUGGUGAUCCUUUUACUGAGGAGUUCUUUGUACUCUUUCAGUCGGUGUAUAGGCAGCAGCAAUCCUUGUUAGAGAAAUUGACACUUCAAAAGAAGAAGCUUGAUAAAAAAUUGAAGAACAUGAAAACAUGGAGGCGGGUAUCAAAUGUGUUGUUUGUUGCUGCUUUUGUCUCUGUGUUGAUUUUCUCAGUGGUGGCAGCCGCCAUUGCUGCACCACCUCUUGUAACAGCUUUGGCAGGUGCACUGGCUGUUCCUAUUGGCUCAGUGGGAAAAUGGUGUAACUCACUUUGGAAUAGUUAUAUGAAAGAAGUGAAGGGCCAGAAGGAAUUGGUAAGCUCAAUGCAUGUUAGAACUUUCAUUGUAAUCAAGGAUAUGGAUAAUAUACGGCUACUUGUCAACAAAUUGGAACUGGAAAUUGAAUCACUCUUGCAAAAUGCGAGCAUUGCCCUUAUGGAAGAAGAUGCUUUGAAGCUUGUGAUAGAUGAGAUCAAGAAGAAGCUGGAUGUGUUCAUGCAAGCUAUUGAGGAUUUAGGUGAACAUGCUAAUAAGUGUAGCCGUGACAUAACACAGGCAAGGACAGUGAUUUCACAGAGAAUAAUCAGGUAUCUCGACCGCUGAAGAAGUCCUUGAAUAUUUGUACUAUUGACUUUGCCAAUUUGGUUAUGUUGUGUGAAUUUCAUGUUAUGGUUGGAAGGCGGUCUAACGCAUUGUAUUGUCCAACUCGAAUUCAAUCUUUAUAAAGAAAAUUAUAUUGUUGAGCAGGCUUAUGCUCUCUUAUCAGAAAGGAUUUCUGUGUGAUUUCCCCUUAUUUUUAUUGUCUGGCCUGUGUGAGAUUGUUGCAGAAUCUACUAAAAUUAAAUAUUUCGGAUGUUA
Molecule: unclassified non-coding RNA, 2229 nt
Filed under: Hevea brasiliensis (rubber tree)
Lineage: Eukaryota; Viridiplantae; Streptophyta; Magnoliopsida; Malpighiales; Euphorbiaceae
Source: RNAcentral